GAUUUGCGUGAGGGAUAGUAGUGAAAAGCCCGGAAUCCCGAUGCAGCGCAGCGCAAACGGGAUGAGGACUUGUAGCGUAUAGCCCGACAGCAA
This 93-nucleotide unclassified non-coding RNA is filed under the name Flavobacterium segetis. RNAcentral describes it as "Flavo-1 RNA". Lineage: Bacteria; Pseudomonadati; Bacteroidota; Flavobacteriia; Flavobacteriales; Flavobacteriaceae. The record is from RNAcentral.